Molecule: ribosomal RNA, 253 nt
Filed under: uncultured bacterium
Lineage: Bacteria
Description: partial 16S ribosomal RNA
Rfam family: Bacterial small subunit ribosomal RNA
Source: RNAcentral
UACGGAGGGGACUAGCGUUGUUCGGAUUCAUUGGGCGUAAAGGGUGCGUAGGCGGCGCGGUAAGUCGGGUGUGAAAUCUCGGAGCUUAACUCCGAAACUGCAUUCGAUACUGCCGUGCUUGAGGACUGGAGAGGAGACUGGAAUUCCUGGUGUAGCGGUGAAAUGCGCAGAUAUCAGGAGGAACACCGGUGGCGAAGGCGGCAUCCUGGACCGACACUGACGCUGAGGAGCGAAAGCCAGGGGAGCAAACGGG